GUGUCAGCAGCCGCGGUAAUACAGAGGUCCCAAGCGUUGUUCGGAUUCACUGGGCGUAAAGGGUGCGUAGGUGGCUGGGAAAGUUUGAUGUGAAAGCUCAGGGCUCAACCCUGAAAUGGCAUUGAAUACUACUUAGCUGGAGGUUUGGAGGGGGGACUGGAAUUCUCGGUGUAGCAGUGAAAUGCGUAGAUAUCGAGAGGAACACCAGUGGCGAAGGCGAGUCCCUGGACAACACCUGACACUGAGGCACGAAAGCUAGGGGAGCAAACAGGAUUAGAUACCCCCGUAGUCC
Molecule: ribosomal RNA, 292 nt
Filed under: uncultured bacterium
Lineage: Bacteria
Description: partial 16S ribosomal RNA
Rfam family: Bacterial small subunit ribosomal RNA
Source: RNAcentral